GAUGAACGCUGGCGGCGUGCCUAAUACAUGCAAGUCGAACGCAUAGCGAAAGGUGCUUGCACCUUUCAAGUGAGUGGCGAACGGGUGAGUAACACGUGGACAACCUGCCUCAAGGCUGGGGAUAACAUUUGGAAACAGAUGCUAAUACCGAAUAAAACUUAGUGUCGCAUGACACAAAGUUAAAAGGCGCUUCGGCGUCACCUAGAGAUGGAUCCGCGGUGCAUUAGUUAGUUGGUGGGGUAAAGGCCUACCAAGACAAUGAUGCAUAGCCGAGUUGAGAGACUGAUCGGCCACAUUGGGACUGAGACACGGCCCAAACUCCUACGGGAGGCUGCAGUAGGGGAUCUUCCACAAUGGGCGAAAGCCUGAUGGAGCAACGCCGCGUGUGUGAUGAAGGCUUUCGGGUCGUAAAGCACUGUUGUAUGGGAAGAACAGCUAGAAUAGGAAAUGAUUUUAGUUUGACGGUACCAUACCAGAAAGGGACGGCUAAAUACGUG
RNAcentral lists this ribosomal RNA (497 nucleotides) under uncultured bacterium. Its description in RNAcentral is "partial 16S ribosomal RNA". It matches the Rfam family "Bacterial small subunit ribosomal RNA", at positions 28 to 507 of the family's 1533-position model. The record is from RNAcentral.